GUGUUUGCUUCAGCGGCACAUAUACUAAAAAAUCAGAACACACAGAUUAGUAUAUCCUCUGAGCAAGGAUAAGAUUAAAAUCCACCAAGUGUUCCAUAUUUUU
Molecule: small nuclear RNA, 103 nt
Filed under: Nomascus leucogenys (northern white-cheeked gibbon)
Lineage: Eukaryota; Metazoa; Chordata; Mammalia; Primates; Hylobatidae
Source: RNAcentral